GAGUUUGAUCAUGGCUCAGAUUGAACGCUGGCGGCAUGCUUUACACAUGCAAGUCGAACGGUAACAGGGAGCUUGCUCCGCUGACGAGUGGCGAACGGGUGAGUAAUGCGUCGGAACGUGCCGAGUAGUGGGGGAUGACGCAUCGAAAGGUGUGCUAAUACCGCAUACGAACUGAGGUUGAAAGUGGGGGACCUUCGGGCCUCACGCUAUUCGAGCGGCCGACGUCUGAUUAGCUAGUAGGUGAGGUAAAGGCUCACCUAGGCGACGAUCAGUAGCGGGUCUGAGAGGAUGAUCCGCCACACUGGGACUGAGACACGGCCCAGACUCCUACGGGAGGCAGCAGUGGGGAAUUUUGGACAAUGGGCGCAAGCCUGAUCCAGCCAUGCCGCGUGUCUGAAGAAGGCCUUUCGGUUGUAAAGGACUUUUGUCUGGGAGCAAAUACCCGGUGUUAAUAGCGCCGGGGGCUGAGAGUACCAGAAGAAUAAGCACCGGCUAACUACGUGCCAGCAGCCGCGGUAAUACGUA
This 525-nucleotide ribosomal RNA is filed under the name uncultured bacterium. RNAcentral's name for it is "bacterial SSU rRNA". It matches the Rfam family "Bacterial small subunit ribosomal RNA", at positions 9 to 529 of the family's 1533-position model. The record is from RNAcentral.